CUCAGUGUGGUGUAGUGGUUUGAGCAUUGGACUGUGACUCUGAAGACCAGGGUUCAAAUCCCCGCUCAGCUA
This 72-nucleotide transfer RNA is filed under the name Phrynosoma platyrhinos (Desert horned lizard). RNAcentral's name for it is "tRNA-OTHER". The record is from RNAcentral. Lineage: Eukaryota; Metazoa; Chordata; Lepidosauria; Squamata; Phrynosomatidae.